UACGUAGGGUGCGAGCGUUAAUCGGAAUUACUGGGCGUAAAGCGUGCGCAGGCGGUUAUGUAAGACAGAGGUGAAAUCCCCGGGCUCAACCUGGGAACUGCCUUUGUGACUGCAUGACUAGAGUACGGCAGAGGGGGAUGGAAUUCCGCGUGUAGCAAUGAAAUGCGUAGAUAUGCGGAGGAACACCGAUGGCGAAGGCAAUCCCCUGGGCCUGUACUGACGACCAUGCACGAAAGCGUGGGGAGCAAACAGG
This 253-nucleotide ribosomal RNA is filed under the name uncultured bacterium. RNAcentral's name for it is "partial 16S ribosomal RNA". It matches the Rfam family "Bacterial small subunit ribosomal RNA", at positions 524 to 776 of the family's 1533-position model. The record is from RNAcentral.